This 72-nucleotide transfer RNA is filed under the name Ovis aries (sheep). It matches the Rfam family "tRNA". Rfam says of the family: Transfer RNA (tRNA) molecules are approximately 80 nucleotides in length. The record is from Rfam by way of RNAcentral. Lineage: Eukaryota; Metazoa; Chordata; Mammalia; Artiodactyla; Bovidae.
CCCCUGGUGGCUCAGAGGUUAAAGCGUCUGCCUGCAAUGCGGGAGACCUGGGUUCGAUCCCUGGGUCGGGAA